This 897-nucleotide ribosomal RNA is filed under the name uncultured archaeon. RNAcentral describes it as "bacterial SSU rRNA". It matches the Rfam family "Archaeal small subunit ribosomal RNA", at positions 1 to 874 of the family's 1478-position model. The record is from RNAcentral.
UUCCGGUUGAUCCUGCCGGACCCUACUGCUAUCGGGGGAGGACUAAAACAUGCAAGUCGUGUGCCUCCAAGCCAUGGUGGAGACGCGGCAUCCGGCUCAGUAACACGUGGCUAACCCACCCUUGAGACGGAGAAAACCCCGGGAAACUGGGGUUAAUCUCCGAUAAGAGAAGACACCUGGAAUGGGUCUCCUCUCAAAGGGCGCCUAGACCAUGCUUCUGGGCGUUGCUCAAGGACGGGGCCGCGGCCGAUCAGGUUGUUGGUGAGGCAACGGCUCACCAAGCCUAUAACCGGUACGGGCCGUGAGAGCGGGAGCCCGGAGAUGGGCACUGAGACAAGGGCCCAGGCCCUACGGGGCGCAGCAGUUGCGAAAACUCCGCAAUGCACGAAAGUGUGACGGGGCUACCCCGAGUGCCGUCCGCUGAGGGCGGCUUUUCCCCGGUGUAAGGAGCCGGGGGAAUAAGGAGAGGGCAAGUCUGGUGUCAGCCGCCGCGGUAAUACCAGCUCUCCGAGUGGUAGGGAUGAUUAUUGGGCUUAAAGCGUCCGUAGCCGGCCCGGCAAGUCUUCCGUUAAAUCCAACGAUUCAAUCGUUGGACUGCAGGAGAUACUGUUGGGCUAGGAGGCGGGAGAGGCCGACGGUACUCUCGGGGUAGGGGUAAAAUCCUAUAAUCCCGGGAAGACCACCAGUGGCGAAGGCGGUCGGCUAGAACGCGCUCGACGGUGAGGGACGAAAGCUGGGGGAGCGAACCGGAUUAGAUACCCGGGUAGUCCCAGCUGUAAACGAUGCGGGCUAGGUGUUGGGGCGGCUACGGGCCGCUUCAGUGCCGCAGGGAAACCAUUAAGCCCGCCGCCUGGGGAGUACGGCCGCAAGGCUGAAACUUAAAGGAAUUGGCGGGGG